GCUGUCUCCACCCGAGACUCAGUGAAAUUGAACUCGCUGUGAAGAUGCAGUGUACCCGCGGCAAGACGGAAAGACCCCGUGAACCUUUACUAUAGCUUGACACUGAACAUUGAGCCUUGAUGUGUAGGAUAGGUGGGAGGCUUUGAAGUGUGGACGCCAGUCUGCAUGGAGCCGACCUUGAAAUACCACCCUUUAAUGUUUGAUGUUCUAACGUUGGCCCCUUACCGGGGUUGCGGACAGUGUCUGGUGGGUAGUUUGACUGGGGCGGUCUCCUCCUAAAGAGUAACGGAGGAGCACGAAGGUUGGCUAAUCCUGGUCGGACAUCAGGAGGUUAGUGCAAUGGCAUAAGCCAGCUUGACUGCGAGCGUGACGGCGCGAGCAGGUGCGAAAGCAGGUCAU
RNAcentral lists this ribosomal RNA (399 nucleotides) under Escherichia coli. RNAcentral describes it as "partial 23S ribosomal RNA". It matches the Rfam family "Bacterial large subunit ribosomal RNA", at positions 2015 to 2413 of the family's 2925-position model. The record is from RNAcentral. Lineage: Bacteria; Pseudomonadati; Pseudomonadota; Gammaproteobacteria; Enterobacterales; Enterobacteriaceae.